RNAcentral lists this ribosomal RNA (2127 nucleotides) under Triticum aestivum (bread wheat). Its description in RNAcentral is "partial small subunit ribosomal RNA". Lineage: Eukaryota; Viridiplantae; Streptophyta; Magnoliopsida; Poales; Poaceae. The record is from RNAcentral.
AUGGCGACGGUAACGCCGGGGGUCUUGCUGCGCCUGCUGCAGGCGAUGCACACGGACGAGCGGGUCACCGGGGAGCACCGCUCCCCCGCGCUCCAGGUCACGGCGGUCGUGCCUGCGCUCACGGCCUCCACCGCCGACUCCCUGCUCUGCCCUUCCAAGGGCUUCCUCCUCCAGCUCUCCGACGGCCUCCACUCCACCUACGUCCAGCCCUCCCCCGCCGACGCCGACGCGCUCCUCUCCGCGCGCCCACACAUCGUCGGCCACCUGGUCCACCUCGACCGCCUCCGCUUCGCCAGCCCGGUCCCGCGCGCCGUCGGCCUCCGCCCUGUUCCGUCCUCCCGCUCCCUCCCCUGCGUCGGCAACCCUGAGCCGCUCAUCGUCCGCUCCGCGGCGUGCUCCCGGGGCUACGUCAUCAGGCCCGAUUCCUCCCCCGACGCUGCACCACCGCUCAUGCCGUCCGGCUCCGGCGGUGCGCCACCGUCUGAUGCGAUGGAUGUUGCCGUCAAAAGGACCGUUCUUGCUCCCAGGAACGGCCCCGAGGCCGCGGCGCUGCCAGGCGGUUCGGCCGCGAAGCGGCGGUUCUCGUCUCCGGCGCCGGCCAAGCAGCGAGAUCCGUCGCCUGCGGUGAAGGGAGCGUCCCGGGCGGCGUCUCCCUCUGUCAAGGGCGCCUCCAGAGCGUCGUCACCUGCCGUGAGAGGCACGUCCAGGUCGUCGUCGCCGGCCCCGUCGAAGUGUGUGGUUCCCAGCCUUGUUGCGGCCAAGGAGGAGAACCGCAGGGUCGCAAAGGAGCCAGCCAUUAUCGUGCCAUCGAGGUACAGGCAGCCUUCACCAGGAGGGAGAAGGGGAGCGGCCUCUCCAGGAGGCGGUGGCAGGCGGGGCUCCCUCUCACCCGGUUCCCGGAGGCUUUCGGGAGAAGGGGGCAGCAAGAAGAAGGUCGGGGUGUUGGUUUCUGGUAUCUCGAAGAUGACAGAUUUGGGGAGCGGGUCGGCCAUGAAGCCGGGGAGGAAGAGCUGGGACGAGUCGGCAAUGGCUCUUGCAGCUGCGGCCGCUGGCACGGUGAAGAAGUCCAAGGUCAAGGUGGACAGAGAUACUAUUCUGAGGACUCAGGAAGCAAUGUCACGGCGACUUAGUGACGCUACAACAGAGCUAUCGAGUAACGAUGACUCCUCUGUUGAUGAGAAGCCAAAACCACGAAAGAAGACAGAGUCUGCUGCAGGGAAGGCAAAAACAGCAGCUCCAAAAAUCAUACUUCAUGAUGCUAAAUGGACUGAUGGCAGCAUUCCACUGGUUGCAGUUUCAGAUAAACUUUCGAAGAUCGGAAAGGAAGCUGCUGAGCGGAGAGAUGCAGCAGCAGCCGCUGCAGCUGACGCUCUGCAGGAGGCAUUGAUCACUGAUUCAGUUAUCAGAAAUCUGAGCAAGUUCUCUGAACUUUGUUCGUUGUCGAAGACCGCGAAUCCACUCCCAACUGUCGAUUGUUUCCUUGCUGUCUAUGAAGACACUCUGAAGUGGAAGAAAAUCGCCGAGUCACUGGCCACCAACGGAGCAGAUGAAGCUGCAUUCUGGGAGAAAUCAGCCACUCAUUGGGUUGAGGCAGCAUUAGCAACCGAACUGGAGGUCCUCAAGCUUGUUAACAGCGCCACUGGAUCCAUCUACCAGAAGAAGAGCACUGAAAAGCCCAAGGCUCCUCCUGCAGUGGAACCACCAAGAACAAGCCUGUCCAAGAGGCCAUCUCUUGGAGCUUCUGCAAAGGUCCAGUCCAGGGCAUCACAUCUCCCUGCUGCAUGGCCUAAAACUCUGGGCAUGAACGAGACGGUUGAGCUUGCCCACACCUUGUGCCACGAGAUGCAUGUCUGGUUUCUGAAAUUUGUGAACGAGGCCAUGGAUGUGGGCUUCCACCUGUUUGAAGACCAGAACAUCGCAACUAGGGGAAAGCAGAGCGGCCAUAUCACGGUGGUCCUGUCGCAGUUCAAGAGGAUCAGCGACUGGCUGGACGGAGUCGGCAAGAUCGCCGACGAGGAUGCGACCAAGGACAAUGUGGAGCGCUUGAAGCGCAAGAUCUACCAGUUCGUCAUCAGCCGCAUGGGGUCUGCCUUCGAGAGCUCGGUCUCAGUUUCAGCAAAGAGCUGA